UACGUAGGUGGCAAGCGUUGUCCGGAUUUACUGGGCGUAAAGGGCUCGUAGGCGGCCAACUAAGUCGGAUGUGAAAUCCCCAGGCUUAACCUGGGAACUGCAUCCGAUACUGGAUGGCUUGAAUCCGGGAGAGGGAUGCAGAGUUCCAGGUGUAGCGGUGAAAUGCGUAGAUAUCUGGAGGAAUACCGGUGGCGAAGGCGGCAUCCUGGACCGGCAUUGACGCUGAUGAGCGAAAGCUAGGGGAGCAAACGGG
RNAcentral lists this ribosomal RNA (253 nucleotides) under uncultured bacterium. Its description in RNAcentral is "partial 16S ribosomal RNA". It matches the Rfam family "Bacterial small subunit ribosomal RNA", at positions 524 to 776 of the family's 1533-position model. The record is from RNAcentral.